CAGGGAAGGGACCUGGUUCCCAUUUACCGCUCCUCCUCCCCUCUGGGGGGCCCCAGACCUGGGGGUAGAGGGUAGGGGCGGGCGGAGCAAGCUGGGCAGGGGUCGAGGUGUUCAUUGUUAAGUGUGCAGACCGCUGUCCGAGCGGUCAGUUUCCUCCGGAAUAGUAGAAGGUCAAAGAGUUGGAACAUAAAGUGGGGCAUAAUCUAAAUCCAGAAAAGCCCAGCAUCCCUACAGACACCCCGGAGUGAGGGGGUGGAGAGGGACUCGGGAGAGCAGUCAGCUCCACCUGCUCCUGGUUUGGUCCCGAGCCAUUGAGUCAGCCGGCCCUAGGAACCUCCCGAGAGCGCCCUUCAUAGCUGGAGGCUCAGAGGCCGUCCCGGGGCCCAGCGCCGCCGCCUCCGCCUGGUCCAGCUGUGAUUAGCCUCCGAGCCUCCCCGAACCUCCCCUCGCGCACCCAGCGGCUCAGCGCAGCCACAGCUGCAGCAGGUGGGGGGCCCCCUGGGCCAGCUGACAGACAGCGGAGGCGGAGGCGGGGCCUGAGCCCGGGGCGGAGCCGCGAGGAGAACGGGCCCGGCGCAGGGGGGAGGUGAAGGGGGAGGAGGAGAAAAAGGAGGAGGAGGAGGAGGAGGAGGAGGAGAGAGCAACAGAAGGGAAAGGCUGGCUCCCACACGAACUGAGCGAGCUCUGGCUCUCUAGGCACAGAGUCCAAGCUCCAGGGCUUGCCCAAGCGAUAGAGCGUCUCCGAGGGUCAGCGGUUGAGGCUGGGCGAGCGGCAGCCGGUGAGGCUGGGGCGCAGACAAAGGCGCCGCCGCCGCCGCCGCCGCCGCCGCCGCUGGCUCGCAAGCUUUCCUGCGGGAGCGAACCUGGGCAGCGAUCGAGGACUCUCCGGCUGUCUAUCGGAUCUCUCUACUCUUCUCAAGUGAUGGGAAUGAUGUUUUUAACAUUGGGAUGCAUUCAGAGAAAAUGGCCCUGAUCUUUUCCAAACUCAUCAUCUCUUAAAUUUAAUCUCCAUCAAGGAACCGAGCAGUGACUUCUUGGAGGUAGAGAACCCAAAGACAAAGAACAAGAGACAGAAGAUUGAAAAACAGAGGGGGCUGGUCAGUCCACUGAGUGACUCUACAGCUCCUAAACUGCCACAAGGCUUCAGUGAUGUCUGCUCAAGCUGACCACCAAGGAGGCAAGCCUAAGAGAAAGGAGUGGACUCUGGGACAAAGAUCCCAGCCAAAGAGUUGGGUGUUCCUGUGGCAUUGCCCAGCCUAGGAAUCACAGACUGUGCAACUUCUUUGUUUGGACUGGCAACAGCAAGCAUACGUUGCACUUUCGCUGAGGCCUGAUCAUUUGCUGAAUAUUUAUUUGUCCCAACAAUUAUUUAGUUAUCCUCAGGAAUCUGGGGUCCGAGGCCAACUUCUCCUUUUUUUGUAUUAUUUCUUGGUAGGGGAGUAUGACCCUUCAUCUCCCUUUGUGCUCAGAGCUUAGUAGAGUCAUCACCAUUAAGUUAGACUCAAAGAAACAUAGAAGACUGAAGAGAUCAUCUCAUCUAAUGGCGUUGUAUUAUCGUUUUGCUGUUAUUAAAGUGUUCCAGUUGUGUCUGAUUCUUGUGACCCCAUUUGGGGUUUUUUUGGCAAAGGUACUGGAGUGAUUUUCCAUUUCCUUCUCCAGCUUAUUUUGCAGAUAGGAAACUGAGGCAAAAGGAUUCAGUGACUUGCUGAAGUCACAGAGUUAGAAAGAUGUCUGGGGCCAUUUUUAAACUCAGGAAGAUGAAUCUUCCUCAUUCCAGAUUCAGUGCCUAUCUGUUGAAUGUGGGAUCUGGGUUUAUUGUUGUUUAGUCAGUUUUUUUUUUCUGUUCUGUCCAACUAUUCAUGACUUUUUUUUUUGGGGGGGGGUUCCUUGGCAAAGAUGCUAGAGUGGUUUACCAUUUUCUUCUCCAGCUCAUUUUACAGGGGAGGAAACUGAGGCAAACUGGGAUAAGUGACUUGCUGAGGGUCACACAACUAAGUGUCUGAGGCCAGAUUUAAACUCUGGAAGAUGUCUUCCUCACUCCAGGUCCAAUACUAUCUACUGUAUCAUCUAGCUGCUCUGUGUUACAGAUGAGGAAAUUGAAGCUCGGAUUGGUAGAGGGAUUUGUCUAUUGUUUUAGAAUUGUAGAGAUGCAGAGUCGGAAGGGAUUUCAGAAGCUGUCUAGUCUCUUUGAGUUCUAAUCAAGAAGUUCCUGUGCCCUGCCCCUGAAAAAUGGAUAGCCUUUACUUGAUGAGCUACAAUGAGAGGCUUUGCACUCUGCAGCAGACCAGUCCAUCUUGGGACAGCUCUAAUUGUUGCUGAAGUUUUCCAUGUAUCAAGUUUAAAUGUGGCUUUUGCCACUGCUACUCAUUGCUCCGAGUCCUGCCUUCUGGGAUCCGACAGAACACAUUUAGCCUUUCUUCCACACGACAGCCCAUCACAAAUGUGAAGGCUGCUAUCAUGUUCCUCCUGAGUCUUCUCUUCUCCAGGCUAAAUGUUCCCAACAUGUUCCAUUGCCCGCCCCCAUGACCUGGACUCACAGUCCUUUACCACUUGGCUGCAUAUCCAGAAAAAUCCCUGAUCCAGCAUUUGUCAUUAUUGAUCAUUCCUUACAAUAAAUGGCUUAGAGAGGUAUAUUAUAUUUUUAAG
This is a long non-coding RNA of Monodelphis domestica (gray short-tailed opossum), 2646 nucleotides long. The record is from Ensembl. Lineage: Eukaryota; Metazoa; Chordata; Mammalia; Didelphimorphia; Didelphidae.